This 474-nucleotide ribosomal RNA is filed under the name uncultured bacterium. Its description in RNAcentral is "SSU rRNA". It matches the Rfam family "Bacterial small subunit ribosomal RNA", at positions 26 to 521 of the family's 1533-position model. The record is from RNAcentral.
AGAACGAACGCUGGCGGCAUGCCUAACACAUGCAAGUCGAACGCUCCUGGGGCUUCGGUCUCAGGGGAGUGGCGCACGGGUGAGUAGCGCGUGGGAACCUGCCCUGUUGUGGGGGAUAACCGAGGGAAACUUCGGCUAAUACCGCAUAAGCCGGUUGUCUUGAAAGAGAUGACCGGGAAAGAUUUAUCGCGACAGGAGGGGCCCGCGUCGGAUUAGCUAGUUGGUGGGGUAACGGCCCACCAAGGCAGUGAUCCGUAGCUGGUCUGAGAGGAUGAUCAGCCACACUGGGACUGAGACACGGCCCAGACUCCUACGGGAGGCAGCAGUGGGGAAUAUUGGACAAUGGGCGCAAGCCUGAUCCAGCAAUGCCGCGUGAGUGAUGAAGGCCUUAGGGUUGUAAAGCUCUUUCGCCCGCGACGAUGAUGACGGUAGCGGGAGAAGAAGCCCGGCUAACUUCGUGCCAGCAGCCGCGGU